GGAGACAGUCAUAGAGAAAUGUGUUGUUGGCAUCGAUUUCCAAUGGUUGGGCAAUGGCUUCCACCAUCUGGACCAGGUGACGUCAGCUAUCUGGAUUUCUGCCAGCAUUCCCCGGCACAGGAAACAGACUUCCGGCUGUCUGGGCUCUGAGCCAUCUCCGGCCUCCUGAAGUUGGAUGCUGAAACUUGCAGUCACACAAGGACUUGAACCUAGAGCUUUUCUAAAGUCCGUACUCUUUCCGGUACCCUGAGCCAGGGGAGCCAGCGGGCAGAAAUGAUGUGUGAGAUACCCUCUCUCCCUUCACUUCCAUGUGAUCUGUUACUCAUUUUGUCAAGACAUCCUGGGUCCCAGGUGCCAGGUGCUACACAAGAUACUGGCUAUAGCAGCGAACAGGACAGCCCGUCUCAUCCUCAUGGAGGUCACAGGACAAUGAGAAGAAAGACUUUGAACAAGUAAUUACAGGGUGUUGGGUGUUAUGAAAGAAAAGCAUGGUGGUGUAUAAUGAGGUCAUCUAAUUUAGUCUGGGGUGACAAGGAAUGCCUACUAAAGAAGGUAUCGUUGAAGACAUACCUGGGGAUUAGUGGUAGUGAAAACAGAAGCUCCAGAAAGGCAGGGACCAUGGCUGACAUGUUUACCAUGCCAGUGUCUGGUGUGAAAGAGGCACCAAUUCCUUUGGUUGAAAGGAUGAAGUAAUCUAGCUGAAUAAAGGGUGUGUGCAUGCAUGCAGGUGUGUUUGUAGUUAACCUUCCUUUAGCUCAGCUUAGGAAACAGCUUUUGUAAAACUGCGUAACCAGUAGUAGUUACUGAGAGAGGAAUAUGAAUGAGAUACACACCAUUAAAGACAACUUACUAACAGAACAA
Molecule: long non-coding RNA, 861 nt
Filed under: Pongo abelii (Sumatran orangutan)
Lineage: Eukaryota; Metazoa; Chordata; Mammalia; Primates; Hominidae
Description: lincRNA
Source: RNAcentral